CAAAGAGUGGCAGUAAAGGAAGCUUUUUCUGGUUAGCUGCCAGUGACUAGUGGAGUUCCGCAAGGGUUGGUGCUGGGGCCGCUACUCUUUACGUUGUAUAUUAAUGAUUUGGACGAGGAGGUUGAAGGCUUUGUGGCCAAAUUUCCGGUUAUACGGAAAUAGGUGGAGGGGUAAGUAGUGUAGAGAAAGCUGGGACUCUGCAGAAGGACUUGGACAGGUUAGGAAAGGCUUGGGCAGAGAAGUGGCAGAUGGAAUAAAGUGCAGCAGAGUGUGGAGUCAUGUAUUUUGUUAGUAGGAAUAAAGGUGUAGACUAUUUUCUAAAUGAGGUCCGAUUCCAGAAAUCUGAGGUGCAAUGGGACUUGGU
Long non-coding RNA from Amblyraja radiata (thorny skate), 364 nucleotides. RefSeq lists it as uncharacterized. The transcript is spliced from 3 exons. NCBI's taxonomy places the organism in Eukaryota, Metazoa, Chordata, Chondrichthyes, Rajiformes, Rajidae. The record is from RefSeq and is a predicted model, not a curated record.